GACGAACGCUGGCGGCGUGCCUAAUACAUGCAAGUCGAGCGAACGGACGAGAAGCUUGCUUCUCUGAUGUUAGCGGCGGACGGGUGAGUAACACGUGGAUAACCUACCUAUAAGACUGGGAUAACUUCGGGAAACCGUAGCUAAUACCGGGUAAUAUUUUGAACCGCAUGGUUCAAAAGUGAAAGACGGUCUUGCUGUCACUUAUAGAUGGAUCCGCGCUGCAUUAGCUAGUUGGUAAGGUAACGGCUUACCAAGGCAACGAUGCAUAGCCGACCUGAGAGGGUGAUCGGCCACACUGGAACUGAGACACGGUCCAGACUCCUACGGGAGGCAGCAGUAGGGAAUCUUCCGCAAUGGGCGAAAGCCUGACGGAGCAACGCCGCGUGAGUGAUGAAGGUCUUCGGAUCGUAAAACUCUGUUAUUAGGGAAGAACAUAUGUGUAAGUAACUGUGCACAUCUUGACGGUACCUAAUCAGAAAGCCACGGCUAACUACGUG
RNAcentral lists this ribosomal RNA (497 nucleotides) under uncultured bacterium. RNAcentral's name for it is "partial 16S ribosomal RNA". It matches the Rfam family "Bacterial small subunit ribosomal RNA", at positions 28 to 507 of the family's 1533-position model. The record is from RNAcentral.